AUCCAACGUACCAGUCACAAAUAGGACGAAACGCGCGUCCUGGAU
Molecule: non-coding RNA, 45 nt
Filed under: Schistosoma mansoni
Lineage: Eukaryota; Metazoa; Platyhelminthes; Trematoda; Strigeidida; Schistosomatidae
Source: RNAcentral